GAUGAACGCUAGCGGGAGGCUUAAUACAUGCAAGUCGAGGGAGAAAUUUGUUUUUCGGAAUAAAUGGAAACCGGCGCACGGGUGAGUAACGCGUACACUACCUACCUUAUACUGGGGGAUAGCCUUUGGAAACGAAGAGUAAUACCCCAUGGUCCCGCCCUAGGCGGGUAAAGCUCCGGCGGUAUAAGAUGGGUGUGCGUUUGAUUAGCUAGUUGGUGAGGUAACGGCUCACAAAGGCGACGAUCAAUAGGGGGCGUGAGAGCGUGAUCCCCCACACGGGUACUGAGACACGGACCCGACUUCUACGGAAGGCAGCAGUAAGGAAUAUUGGACAAUGGGCGAAAGCCUGAUCCAGCCAUCCCGCGUGAAGGAUGAAUGCCCUAUGGGUUGUAAACUUCUUUUGUUUGGAAAGAAACGCUCCGAUUUAUCGGAGCCUGACGGUACCAUUCGAAUAAGCACCGGCUAACUCCG
RNAcentral lists this ribosomal RNA (471 nucleotides) under uncultured Saprospiraceae bacterium. RNAcentral's name for it is "bacterial SSU rRNA". It matches the Rfam family "Bacterial small subunit ribosomal RNA", at positions 28 to 505 of the family's 1533-position model. Lineage: Bacteria; Pseudomonadati; Bacteroidota; Saprospiria; Saprospirales; Saprospiraceae. The record is from RNAcentral.